Long non-coding RNA from Telopea speciosissima, 75 nucleotides. RefSeq lists it as uncharacterized. NCBI's taxonomy places the organism in Eukaryota, Viridiplantae, Streptophyta, Magnoliopsida, Proteales, Proteaceae. The transcript has 3 exons. The record is from RefSeq and is a predicted model, not a curated record.
GAUUCUUCUCUACAGGUUAGGGCAAUACCCAUACUUCCACCCUGGGUCAUUUGAUUUGGCCUUCUUUGGGUCUUU